Lonchura striata (white-rumped munia) is the source of this 268-nucleotide non-coding RNA. Lineage: Eukaryota; Metazoa; Chordata; Aves; Passeriformes; Estrildidae. The record is from RefSeq and is a predicted model, not a curated record.
UCAGCAGGUGAUAAGAAAGGCAUGAGAACAGGCUGGAAGGAGAAUGAACUACUGAGGGGCCCAAGCUGAAAGAAAUAAAGACUUCCAGUACAUCACCCUGACAGUAAAGAACCAAGAAAAAGUGAAGUCUGGUUCCUUUCCUGGUAGAUGCUGGUCUUUCUGCGAGCCCAUGGAAAGUUCCUGAGAAGAGAGCUCUCCAUACCUGCUGCUGAUAGCAGAAAGGUCAUGGUAAUGUGUCCCAGCUCCUGAGAGAGUUGGGAUUGUUGAA